Molecule: ribosomal RNA, 612 nt
Filed under: uncultured bacterium
Lineage: Bacteria
Description: bacterial SSU rRNA
Rfam family: Bacterial small subunit ribosomal RNA
Source: RNAcentral
CCUACGGGAGGCAGCAGUAGGGAAUAUUGGGCAAUGGAGGCAACUCUGACCCAGCCAUGCCGCGUGCAGGAUGAAGGCGUUAUGCGUUGUAAACUGCUUUUAUAUAGGAAGAAAGAGUUCUUGCGAGAACAGUUGACGGUACUAUAUGAAUAAGCACCGGCUAACUCCGUGCCAGCAGCCGCGGUAAUACGGAGGGUGCAAGCGUUGUCCGGAUUUAUUGGGUUUAAAGGGUGCGUAGGCGGUUUAUUAAGUCAGUGGUGAAAGACGGUCGCUCAACGAUUGCAGUGCCAUUGAUACUGGUAGACUUGAGUGAGAUUGAGGUAGCUGGAAUGGAUAGUGUAGCGGUGAAAUGCAUAGAUAUUAUCCAGAACACCAAUUGCGUAGGCAAGUUACUAAGUCUCAACUGACGCUGAGGCACGAAAGUGUGGGUAUCAAACAGGAUUAGAUACCCUGGUAGUCCACACUGUAAACGAUGAUAACUAACUGUUGGCUUUAGGGUCAGUGGUACAGAGAAAUCGUUAAGUUAUCCACCUGGGGAGUACGCCGGCAACGGUUGAAACGUCAAAGGAAUUGACCGGNNGAGAGAGCGACGGACGACGACGAGGGAGGAGG